RNAcentral lists this ribosomal RNA (360 nucleotides) under uncultured bacterium. Its description in RNAcentral is "bacterial SSU rRNA". It matches the Rfam family "Bacterial small subunit ribosomal RNA", at positions 29 to 416 of the family's 1533-position model. The record is from RNAcentral.
AACGAACGCUGGCGGCAUGCCUAACACAUGCAAGUCGAACGAGACCUUCGGGUCUAGUGGCGCACGGGUGCGUAACGCGUGGGAAUCUGCCUUUGGGUUCGGAAUAACAGCGAGAAAUUGCUGCUAAUACCGGAUGAUGACGUAAGUCCAAAGAUUUAUCGCCCAAGGAUGAGCCCGCGUAGGAUUAGCUAGUUGGUGAGGUAAAGGCUCACCAAGGCGACGAUCCUUAGCUGGUCUGAGAGGAUGAUCAGCCACACUGGGACUGAGACACGGCCCAAACUCCUACGGGAGGCAGCAGUGGGGAAUAUUGGACAAUGGGCGCAAGCCUGAUCCAGCCAUGCCGCGUGUGUGAUGAAGGCC